GAGAACGCUCCAGACUUAAUGAAGGAUCCAGCAGUAAUACUAGUCGUCGUUGUGCUUGCAACAUUGCAGACAGUUUGCAGAUUUGGAUUAGAUGUCAGAUACGAUGAUGUAUCUAAUGACCAGGUAUCAGUAUUAGUCUUUCUAAGUAGUCCGCUUGUUCCAGUCAAUCCAGCGAUCGCUGCAAGAUCAGCAUCAAGGCGGGCAGAAUUGAUUGUACCGCUAGUAAUCUGUUCACCGCUGAUGGACUUAUUAGUAAGCGUCUGUGAUCCGUUAAGAGUAACAAUGUCAGUCCCUGUGAUUCCAAGAACAGCGGUUGAUGUCAGAACGGCAGUAUUAUUGAUCUUAAACUGCUUUCCAGUCGGAAGGUUCCAAUGUUCGCUGGAUGUCCAGUUCGUGUUGGCAGAAUCCCACGUAAUCGUCUUAUCAGUGGCACCUUUCAGAGUAAUACCACCGCCGUUUGCAGUUGAGUCGCUGGCGGCCUCGGCACCAAAUGUAACUCCACCAGAUGCUAGGUGUGGACUCGUGACAGUAAAUUGAGUUAAAUUGUUAAUUGCAGCAACAGCAAUUGAAGCCGAACCAAAUAUACCUCCGCUUGAGUUUAUAUCCGUUAAACGUUGUCCAGGAAUUAAUCCGGUAGUAUUUCCGCUCGUAAGAUUUACGACAAUCGACCCGCUCGUGAGAGUCGCAGCCAUUCCUGUUUUUACAGGAACACUACCAAGCUCAAUGUUCUUAUCGUCAACCGUCACCGUAGAACUAUUGAUCGUAGUCGUUGUGCCAUUUACAAUCAAAUCCCCAGAAAGCGUAAGAUUAUUGAAUUGAACAUUGCUUGUUGUUCCAAUAUCUUGAGGCAGAGAAAGAGUAACAGCCCACUAGUCUAAACAAGCUCCUUUGCGCCCAAGAUGUAACGGGGCUAAAGCCAUGUACCGAAGACGCAGGUUUUGUUUUUAAACAAAGCGGUAGCGGAGCGUUCCAUAAGUCUGUGAAGUAGAAGCGUAAGCGACUAUGGAGAUAUUGGAAGUGAUUAUGCUGACAUAAGUAACGAUAAUGCGGGUGAAAAGCCCGCACGCCGAAAGUCCAAGGUUUCCUACGUUAAGUAAAUCUGCGUAGGGUUAGCCGGCACCUAAGGUAAACCCGAAGGGGGUAGCCGAUGGCAAUCAGGUUAAUAUUCCUGAGCUUGUAUAAAGUGACGGAGCAAACGUAUUGUUAGUGAUUAUUGGAUUUCACUGGCAGUGCAAUUGCUCACUAGAAAUAACUUAUACGAUAUAAGCCGUACCGCAAUCCGACACAGGUGGAUGGGUUGAAUAUACUAAGGCGUUCGAGAGAACUAUCUUGAAGGAACUAGGCAAUUUGCAUUCGUAACUUCGGGAGAAGAAUGACCCAAUUUUACGCAAGUAGAGUUGGGUGGCACAGAAAUGGGGGUAGCGACUGUUUACCAAAAACACAGGUCUAUGCAAACUCGUCUUAAGAGGAUGUAUAUGGACUGACGCCUGCCCGGUGCUAGAAGGUUAAGUGGAGUGGUGCAAGCUAUGAAAUGAAGCCCUAGUAAACGGCGGCCGUAACUAUGACGGUCCUAAGGUAGCGAAAUUCCUUGUCGGGUAAGUUCCGACCCGCACGAAUGGCGUAACGACUUCCCCACUGUCUCCAAGAUAGACUCGGUGAAAUUGGAUUUGCCGUGAAGAUACGGUAUACCCGCGGCUAGACGGAAAGACCCUAUGAACCUUUACUAUAACUUUGCAUUGGCUCAAAAGUAAGGAUGUGUAGGAUAGGUGGGAGACUAUGAAGCAAGAGCGCUAGCUUUUGUGGAGUCAACCUUGAAAUACCACCCUUCCUUCCUUUUGAUUCUAACCAUACUCGUUGAAUGACGAGAUGAGACAUUGCAUGGUGGGUAGUUUGACUGGGGCGGUCGCCUCCUAAAGCGUAACGGAGGUGCACAAUGGUAGGCUCAGUACGCUUGG
RNAcentral lists this ribosomal RNA (1955 nucleotides) under freshwater metagenome. Its description in RNAcentral is "bacterial LSU rRNA". The stretch from base 591 to 1955 matches the Rfam family "Bacterial large subunit ribosomal RNA", at positions 1 to 2334 of the family's 2925-position model. The record is from RNAcentral.